Molecule: long non-coding RNA, 389 nt
Filed under: Ananas comosus (pineapple)
Lineage: Eukaryota; Viridiplantae; Streptophyta; Magnoliopsida; Poales; Bromeliaceae
Description: long non-coding RNA (ACOM_LNC040856)
Source: RNAcentral
UCGAUCAAGCGCGGAUUGGAGAUGGAACUUUCGGUGAAGGCUUGAGUUCAAGGAGCUUAUGCGGAAGUUUGGGUUGUGUUAUGCCAAAGCCUUGGCGUCGCGAGAUCUUGUUGUGUUUGCGCCUUCGAGUUUUCCGGCACACUUGAGACCAUCAUGGUCUGUUUGGGGCACUGCUGGAGCGCUUCUUCCAUUAUUUUCGGAUGGGUUUGUUGUGUGGUUGACCCGCAGUUUCGCCGACGAAACUCCUUUUUAGGAGGGGAGAAUGUAACAUACUGGACCUUUGCAAAUUGCGAGGUUCGAGUGUUUGGACUGUGUCCUGAGCUUUUCCAGAUUUUUUGGUGGGUCGUUGAUAGUGUUCCGACCUAUGGUUCGAAUUCCGAGAAUUGUAG